Molecule: transfer RNA, 85 nt
Filed under: Felis catus (domestic cat)
Lineage: Eukaryota; Metazoa; Chordata; Mammalia; Carnivora; Felidae
Rfam family: tRNA
About the family: Transfer RNA (tRNA) molecules are approximately 80 nucleotides in length. Their secondary structure includes four short double-helical elements and three loops (D, anti-codon, and T loops).
Source: Rfam by way of RNAcentral
GCCUGAAUGGCUCAGUCGGUUGAGCAUCUGACUUUGGCUCAGGUCAUGAUCUCUCAGUUCGUGAGUUCAAGCCCCUCGUCUGGCU